UUCUUGGCAUCCAUGAUCAAUGGUGCUGCUGAAGAUCUUGUGUUCAAACUGCAUUUCCUCCUGGCUGGAGAGAAGGUUAAGCGAUAUCUGUGCUCGCAAUAUCCAGUUCCGCCCAAAUAAAAAUUUUCAUUUCGGAAUACUGUGUAGUUAGGUGAGUAAACUACUCAAAGGAUACAUAAAAUGCUAUAUCACUCAUGAAGUUAGAAAUUUGCCUUGAAAA
Molecule: non-coding RNA, 220 nt
Organism: Carica papaya (papaya)
Lineage: Eukaryota; Viridiplantae; Streptophyta; Magnoliopsida; Brassicales; Caricaceae
Source: RefSeq, a predicted model, not a curated record